Molecule: ribosomal RNA, 1928 nt
Filed under: Francisella tularensis
Lineage: Bacteria; Pseudomonadati; Pseudomonadota; Gammaproteobacteria; Thiotrichales; Francisellaceae
Description: partial 23S ribosomal RNA
Rfam family: Bacterial large subunit ribosomal RNA
Source: RNAcentral
UUAAGAAAAUAAGUGCAAGCGGUGGAUGCCUUGGCAUUCAGAGGCGAUGAAGGACGUGAUAAUCUGCGAUAAGCUUCGGUUAGCUGGUAAAUGAGCUAUGACCCGGAGAUUUCCGAAUGGGGGAACCCACCUGACACAAGUUGGGUACUCACUCGAUAUAGAGUGUAGAGCGAACGAGGGGAACUGAAACAUCUAAGUACCCUUAGGAAGAGAAAUCAAUUGAGAUUCCCGUAGUAGUGGCGAGCGAAGUGGGAAGAGCCUGGUAUGAUUUAGCUGUAAUUAUAGUAGAACAAGUUGGGAAGCUUGACGAUAGAGGGUGAUAGUCCCGUAUACGAAAUAAUCACAGUGGAACUAAGCAUACGAACAAGUAGGACGGGGCACGUGGAACCUUGUCUGAAUAUGGGGGGACCAUCCUCCAAGGCUAAAUACUCCUGAAUGACCGAUAGUGAACUAGUACCGUGAGGGAAAGGUGAAAAGAACCCUUAUAAAGGGAGUGAAAUAGAAUCUGAAACCGCUUGCAUACAAGCAGUAGGAGCAUGAUUUAGUCAUGUGACUGCGUACCUUUUGUAUAAUGGGUCAGCGAGUUAUUUUUAGUGGCGAGGAUAACUGAAUAAGGGAUCCGUAGCGAAAGCGAGUUUUAAUAGGGCGACUAGUCGCUAGGAGUAGACCCGAAACCGGCGCGAUCUAUCCAUGGCCAGGUUGAAGAUUAGGUAGUACUAAUUGGAGGACCGAACCCAAUACUGUUGCAAAAGUAUGGGAUGAGCUGUGGAUCGGAGUGAAAGGCUAAUCAAGCACGGAGAUAGCUGGUUCUCCCCGAAAACUAUUUAGGUAGUGCCUCGUGUAUAACUCAUUGGGGUAAAGCACUGUUUCGACAAUGGGGGUUUUACGACCUUACUGACUCGAUGCAAACUCAGAAUACGAUGAAGUUCGAUCACGGGAGACACACUGCGGGUGCUAAGGUCCGCAGUGGAAAGGGAAACAGCCCAGACCGCCAACUAAGGUCCCAAAGUCAUAGCUAAGUGGGAAACGAAGUGGGAAGGCCCAGACAGCCAGGAGGUUGGCUUAGAAGCAGCCACCCUUUAAAGAAAGCGUAAUAGCUCACUGGUCGAGUCGGCCUGCACGUAAGAUUUAACGGGGCUAAGCUAUGCACUGAAGUUGCGGAAUAUAUUUAGUAUAUUGGUAGGGGAGCGUUCUGUAAGCCGAUGAAGGUGAAUUGAGAAGUUUGCUGGAGGUAUCAGAAGUGCGAAUGCUGACAUGAGUAACGUAAAAUAAGUGAGAUUCUUAUUGGCCGAAAACCCAAGGGUUCCUACGCAAUGUUAAUCAACGUAGGGUAAGCCGGCCCCUAAGGCGUAGCUGAAGAGUGAAGUCGAUGGGAAACAGGUUAAUAUUCCUGUGCUGCUUAUAUGAACGAAGGAGGGACGGAGAAGGUUAGGUAGGCCUGGCGAAUGGUUGUCCAGGUGAAAGUAUGUAGGUAGGAAUGCUAGGCAAAUCCGGUGUUCUGUUGAUCUGAGAUACGAGACGAAGUUAAACUUGUUUGACGAAGCUAUUGAUACCAUGCUUCCAGGAAAAGCUUCUAAGUAUAUUGUAUAAGUGACCGUACUGUAAACCGACACUGGUGGGUAGGUAGAGAAUACUAAGGCUAUGAGAUAACUCUGGUGAAGGAACUAGGCAAAAUGACACCGUAACUUUGGAAGAAGGUGUGCCCUUGAUGGUGAUGAGACUUGCUCUUUGAGCUGUUGGGGGUUGCAGAUACCAGGUGGCUGCGACUGUUUAUCAAAAACACAGCACUCUGCGAAAUCGUAAGAUGAAGUAUAGGGUGUGACGCCUGCCCGGUGCUGGAAGGUUAAUUGAAGGGGUUAGCGCAAGCGAAGCUCUGGAUCGAAGCCCCAGUAAACGGCGGCCGUAACUAUAACGGUCCUAAGGUAGCG